RNAcentral lists this ribosomal RNA (1949 nucleotides) under Lingulaulax polyedra. RNAcentral describes it as "Lingulodinium polyedra partial Bacterial large subunit ribosomal RNA". It matches the Rfam family "Bacterial large subunit ribosomal RNA", at positions 12 to 2001 of the family's 2925-position model. The record is from RNAcentral. Lineage: Eukaryota; Dinophyceae; Gonyaulacales; Lingulodiniaceae.
UAAGGGCACAUGGGGGAUGUCUUGGCGUUAGGAGGAGAAGGGCGUGGAAGUCUGCGAAAAGCCUGGGGAAGUUGACACACAAGCGAUGAUCCCGGGGUUCCCGACCACAGCACACUGAAUACAUAGGUGUGUAUGUAACAACCUGGUGAACUGAAACAUCUAAGUAACCAGAGGAACAGAAAGAAAAAUCGAUUCCGUCAGUAGCGGCGAGCGAAAUCGGAAUAGCCCAAACCGAGGAGGUUUCCUUCUCGGGGUUGUAGGACUUCAAUAUGGGAUUGAGACGUGUUAGUGAAACGACUUGGAACGGUCGGCCACAGAGGGUGACAGCCCCGUACGCGAAAAUAUUGUCUCACCUUAGAAGCACCUGAGUAGGUCCAGUCACGUGAAACCUGGAUUGAAUCGGCGGGGCCCAUCCCGCAAGGCUAAAUACUCUCUGAUGACCGAUAGUGAACUCAGUAUGGCGACUGAAAGAUGAGAAGAACCCCUUCUAGGGGAGGUAUGUGAACCUGAAACCAUGUGCCUACAAGCGGUCGGAGCCCGAUUCAUGGGUGACGGCGUGCCUUUUGCAUAAUGAUCCGGCGAGUUACCGUCAAUGGCUCGAUUAAGGCCUUCCGGGCCGUAGUCUCAGCGAAAGCAAGUCUGAAUAGGGCGUUUUGUCAGUGGCGGUAGACGCGAAACCAGGUGAACUACCCAUGAGCAGGUUGAAGCGCGGGUAAGACUGCGUGGAGGACCGAACCCACCUAGGUUGAAAACUGGGGGGAUGACUUGUGGGGAGGAGUAAAAGUCUAAUCAAACCUGGAGAUAGCUCGUUCUCUCCGAAAUAGCUUUAGGGCUAGCCUUGAGCCACUACGUAAUGGGGGUAGAGCACUGAUUUGGACUGGGGCCCUUCCCGGGUACCCACCCUAGUUAAACUCCGAAUACCAUUGCGAUUAUCUCAGGAGUCAGUCCACGAGGGAGAAGCUUCGUGGUCGAGAGGGAAACAACCCAGACCGCCUGCUAAGGUCCCAAAGUCUUGCUAAGUCACUAAGGAUGUUAAGAUACUGUGACAGCCAGGAUGUUGGCUUAGAAGCAGCCAUCAUUUAAAAAGUGCGUAAUAGCUUACUGGUCGAGUGUUUUAGCACCGAUAAUGAACGGGAGUAAGCAAGACACCGAAGCAGCGGAUUCAGCUCACGCUGAGUGGUAGGAGAGCGUUCCAGCACAGAUACAAGCCGUACCGAAAGGAGCGGUGUCGGGUGCUGGAAGUGAUUAUGCCGGAAUGAGUAACGAUAAAACAGGUGAGAAUCCUGUUCGCCGCAAACCUAAGGUUUCCUGGGGAAGGUAAUUCCGCCCAGGGUUAGCCGGUACCUUAGUUGAGGCCGAAAGGCGUAGACGAUGGAGAGCAGGUUAAUAUUCCUGCGCCGGAUAUGUGGACCGAUGGGGGGACGUUGUGUAGAUUGUGAUCGGGCUGACAGAAAUGCCCGUAGGGGAAGACAAGGUCGUGGAUAGGAAAAUCCGCCACAUCAGACCAAGGCUUUCACUCGAGUCCAAUGAUGACGAAGUCAUAUGACGCAUAACCAAGAAAAGCCUCUAAGGAUUGAAGCAUAUCUGACCGUACUAAAACUGACACAGGUAGGUGAGGCGCGUAGCCUAAGGCGCUCGAGAAAACGCUGGUUAAGGAACUCUGCAAAUUGACCCCGUAAGUUAGCGAUAAGGGGUGCCUCCGACGGUUCACGCUGUUGGAGGCCACAGAAAAUCGGCUCUGGCGACUGUUUACUAAAAACACAGGACUCUGCGAACUCGUAAGAGGAUGUAUAGAGUCUGACUCCUGCUCGGUGCCGGUAAGUUAAGGAAGAGGGUUAGCCUUCGGGCGAAGCUCGCAACCGAAGCUCCGGUAAACGGCGGCCGUAACUAUGACGGUCCUAAGGUAGCGAAGUUCCUUGUCGGGUAAGUUCCGACCUGCAUGAAAGGCG